RNAcentral lists this long non-coding RNA (308 nucleotides) under Crocodylus porosus (Australian saltwater crocodile). RNAcentral describes it as "lncRNA (ENSCPRG00005009080.1)". Lineage: Eukaryota; Metazoa; Chordata; Crocodylia; Crocodylidae. The record is from RNAcentral.
UCUCCAAGGAAAGCUGUCUUCUUGGCUCUGAAAAUUGUUAUGUAUGGCAACUCUGGUCUGCGAUGAGGAACAAGUAAUGACAAAGGCAUGGUCAUAAGACUGAGGUGUGAAAUAACAAGAGUGAAUGUUGUAAAUAGAAGAAGAUGGAAAUGGAAUAGGAAGAAUGACAGCAAGAGGCUACACAAGCCAAACUUCCUGCACCCCCUUCAGGGACAGACGGAGGCAUCUGUGAUCCCAUCUCUACAACAAUGAAAAUUUGCUUCAGCCAUCACAAUAAAUCCAGAUGGGCAGUGCCUCUCUGUUUCCUA